RNAcentral lists this ribosomal RNA (442 nucleotides) under uncultured bacterium. Its description in RNAcentral is "partial 16S ribosomal RNA". It matches the Rfam family "Bacterial small subunit ribosomal RNA", at positions 339 to 795 of the family's 1533-position model. The record is from RNAcentral.
CUACGGGGCGCUGCAGGGAAGAAUAUUGUACAAUGGGGGCAACCCUGAUACAGCAACGCCGCGUGAAGGAAGAAGGCCUUCGGGUUGUAAACUUCUGUGACAGAGGACGAAGAAGAUGACGGUACUCUGAGAGGAAGCUCCGGCAAACUACGUGCCAGCAGCCGCGGUAAUACGUAGGGGGCGAGCAUUGUCCGGAAUCACUGGGCGUAAAGGGCGCGUAGGCGGCCUGUUAAGUUGAAUGUGAAAUCCCAGGGCUCAACCCUGGACGUGCAUUCAAAACUGGCGGGCUUGAGUAUGGUAGAGGAAAGUGGAAUUCCUAGUGUAGCGGUGGAAUGCGUAGAUAUUAGGAGGAACACCAGUGGCGAAGGCGACUUUCUGGGCCAAAACUGACGCUGAGGCGCGAAAGCGUGGGGAGCAAACAGGAUUAGAUACCCCGGUAGUC